GACGAACGCUGGCGGCGUGCUUAACACAUGCAAGUCGAACGGAAAGGCCCUGCUUUUGUGGGGUGCUCGAGUGGCGAACGGGUGAGUAACACGUGAGUAACCUGCCCUUGACUUUGGGAUAACUUCAGGAAACUGGGGCUAAUACCGGAUAGGAGCUCCUGCUGCAUGGUGGGGGUUGGAAAGUUUCGGCGGUUGGGGAUGGACUCGCGGCUUAUCAGCUUGUUGGUGGGGUAGUGGCUUACCAAGGCUUUGACGGGUAGCCGGCCUGAGAGGGUGACCGGCCACCUUGGGACUGCGAUACGGCCCAGACUCCUACGGGGGGCAGCAGUGGGGAAUAUUGCACAAUGGGCGGAAGCCUGAUGAAGCAACGCCGCGUGCGGGAUGACGGCCUUCGGGUUGUAAACCGCUUUCGCCUGUGACGAAGCGUGAGUGACGGUAAUGGGUAAAGAAGCACCGGCUAACUACGUG
This 468-nucleotide ribosomal RNA is filed under the name uncultured bacterium. RNAcentral's name for it is "partial 16S ribosomal RNA". It matches the Rfam family "Bacterial small subunit ribosomal RNA", at positions 28 to 507 of the family's 1533-position model. The record is from RNAcentral.